RNAcentral lists this ribosomal RNA (504 nucleotides) under uncultured bacterium. Its description in RNAcentral is "bacterial SSU rRNA". It matches the Rfam family "Bacterial small subunit ribosomal RNA", at positions 30 to 524 of the family's 1533-position model. The record is from RNAcentral.
AUUGAACGCUGGCGGCGUGCUUAACACAUGCAAGUCGAGCGGUAACAGGUGUAGCAAUACAUGCUGACGAGCGGCGAACGGGUGAGUAAUGCUUCGGAAUCUGCCCAGUAGUGGGGAAUAACCAGUCGAAAGAUUGGCUAAUACCGCAUACGACCUUUGGGUGAAAGCAGGGGAUCGCAAGACCUUGCGCUAUUGGAUGAGCCGAAGUCGGAUUAGCUAGUUGGUAGGGUAACGGCCUACCAAGGCGACGAUCCGUAGCUGGUCUGAGAGGACGACCAGCCACACUGGGACUAAGACACGGCCCAGACUCCUACGGGAGGCAGCAGUGGGGAAUAUUGGACAAUGGGCGAAAGCCUGAUCCAGCGACGCCGCGUGUGUGAAGAAGGCCUGCGGGUUGUAAAGCACUUUUAGUGGGAGGAAAUGCUCAGACCUAACACGUCUGGGAGCUGACUUAACCCAAAGAAAAAGACACCGGCUAAACUCUGUGCCAGCAGCCGCGGUAAU